RNAcentral lists this long non-coding RNA (242 nucleotides) under Gossypium barbadense (sea-island cotton). Its description in RNAcentral is "long non-coding RNA (GBAR_LNC005241)". The record is from RNAcentral. Lineage: Eukaryota; Viridiplantae; Streptophyta; Magnoliopsida; Malvales; Malvaceae.
AGACACAGUGGCACUGGUGCAAGACAUGACUCCUUUAUCUUCACCUGCUUCAAUCAAUGAAGCAACUUCAAAAGAAAGCUCGACUGAAAAACCUUGAAAAAUGAAAAGUAUAUAUGACUUGUAUGAUGCUACUGAAGCUAUUAAUGAUUUGUUUUAUUUAUUUGUAGAUAGUGAGCCACUUAAUUUCGAUGAUGUCAUGAAGGCCGAAAGAUGGAGACUAGUCAUGGAUAAAGAAAUAAAAU